AACGAACGCUGGCGGCAGGCCUAACACAUGCAAGUCGAGCGAGACCUUCGGGUCUAGCGGCGGACGGGUUAGUAACGCGUGGGAACGUGCCCUUCUCUGCGGAAUAGCCACUGGAAACGGUGAGUAAUACCGCAUACGCCCUUCGGGGGAAAGAUUUAUCGGAGAAGGAUCGGCCCGCGUUAGAUUAGAUAGUUGGUGGGUAACGGCCUACCAAGUCUACGAUCUAUAGCUGGUUUUAGAGGAUGAUCAGCAACACUGGGACUGAGACACGGCCCAGACUCCUACGGGAGGCAGCAGUGGGGAAUCUUAGACAAUGGGCGCAAGCCUGAUCUAGCCAUGCCGCGUGUGUGAUGAAGGUCUUAGGAUCGUAAAGCACUUUUGCCAGGGAUGAUAAUGACAGUACCUGGUAAAGAAACCCCGGCUAACUCCGUG
This 432-nucleotide ribosomal RNA is filed under the name uncultured bacterium. RNAcentral describes it as "bacterial SSU rRNA". It matches the Rfam family "Bacterial small subunit ribosomal RNA", at positions 29 to 507 of the family's 1533-position model. The record is from RNAcentral.